Molecule: ribosomal RNA, 538 nt
Filed under: uncultured bacterium
Lineage: Bacteria
Description: bacterial SSU rRNA
Rfam family: Archaeal small subunit ribosomal RNA
Source: RNAcentral
AGUGAAUAGAUACCCGGGUAGUCCCAGCUGUAAACGAUGCGCGUUAGGUGUAUCGGUGACCACGAGUCACCGAGGUGCCGAAAGAGAAAUCGUGAAACGUGCCGCCUGGGAAGUACGGUCGCAAGGCUGAAACUUAAAGGAAUUGGCGGGGGAGCACCACAGCGGGUGGAGCCUGCGGUUUAAUCGGACUCAACGCCGGGAAACUCACCAGAUAAGACAGCUGAAUGAUAGUCGGGCUGAAGACUCUACUUGACUAGCUGAGAGGAGGUGCAUGGCCGUCGUCAGUUCGUACUGUGAAGCAUCCUGUUAAGUCAGGCAACGAGCGAGACCCACGCCAACAGUUGCCAGCUCGUCCUCCGGGAUGGAGGGGACACUGUUGGGACCGCCUCUGCUAAAGAGGAGGAAGGAAUGGGCAACGGUAGGUCAGCAUGCCCCGAAUUAUCUGGGCUACACGCGGGCUACAAUGGGUGGGACAAUGGGUAUCGACACCGAAAGGUGAAGGCAAUCUCCUAAACCCAUCCUUAGUUCGGAUUGUGGG